UGACUGAGUGGCGGACGGGUGAGUAACGCGUGGGUAACCUGCCUCAUACAGGGGGAUAACAGUUAGAAAUGACUGCUAAUACCGCAUAAGACCACAGUACCGCAUGGUACAGGGGUAAAAACUCCGGUGGUAUGAGAUGGACCCGCGUCUGAUUAGGUAGUUGGUGGGGUAACGGCCUACCAAGCCGACGAUCAGUAGCCGACCUGGGAGGGUGACCGGCCACAUUGGGACUGAGACACGGCCCAA
This 246-nucleotide ribosomal RNA is filed under the name uncultured bacterium. RNAcentral describes it as "partial 16S ribosomal RNA". It matches the Rfam family "Bacterial small subunit ribosomal RNA", at positions 88 to 334 of the family's 1533-position model. The record is from RNAcentral.